AGCGCAGGCGGGAGAACAAGUUGGAAGUGAAAUCCAUGGGCUCAACCCAUGAACUGCUUUCAAAACUGUUUUUCUUGAGUAGUGCAGAGGUAGGCGGAAUUCCCGGUGUAGCGGUGGAAUGCGUAGAUAUCGGGAGGAACACCAGUGGCGAAGGCGGCCUACUGGGCACCAACUGACGCUGAGGCUCGAAAGUGUGGGGAGCGAACA
RNAcentral lists this ribosomal RNA (207 nucleotides) under uncultured bacterium. Its description in RNAcentral is "partial 16S ribosomal RNA". It matches the Rfam family "Bacterial small subunit ribosomal RNA", at positions 568 to 774 of the family's 1533-position model. The record is from RNAcentral.